Heterocephalus glaber (naked mole-rat) is the source of this 602-nucleotide non-coding RNA. The record is from RefSeq and is a predicted model, not a curated record. Lineage: Eukaryota; Metazoa; Chordata; Mammalia; Rodentia; Bathyergidae.
UUUCAAUACAGCACUCUUGAUAAAAUGUUUGUAGUAUAACAAAUAAAAACAUUUUCUUGGACUCUCCAGGAAAUUAAUGGCUUAUUUUUCCUGGCAGACUGAUGUGAGGGAUACUAAAUUACCUUCCACUGAUUAAAGACAAGCCACUGCCUCUAGGCAAAGAGAAAAAGAAAAGAAUUAACCAAGCCCUUAGCAAAAGGAGGCAGUGGUGAAAGUUAGGUAAACAAUUCGGAUCUUCUUUGAUCGGACAGUGCAGCUUCCAGAUGCCACAAAACGCUGAGAACCUGGAAGCUGCUCGGGAGACUUCUUAUGUGGAGAGGAACCUCGGCACUUUCUAAGGACCUACUCUGUGCUUGACUGUCACUUAAUUUCCCACCAAGCAAGUAUCCUGUAAGAAUUCUCCACUCACUGAAAUUAUACUUCAAAAAUCAAACUGAAAUUGAGACUCUUUGAAAUAUGCAAAGGCUGAGAAAAUUCACCAAUAGCAACUCUACAUUAGAAGAAAUGAUCAGAUCUCUGUCCUGAAAGAUGUCAUGCAGGAUGAAGACUCAGAACCACACGAUGGAAUGAGCAGUAAUAAAACUGGCCAAUAUGUGAAUAAA